CAUGAACUCUAAGUUUUAAGGUUAAGGGUAUUUUAAUAAUUUUCAUUCUCAAAAUUAAAAAAGUAAAAAAAAAAACCCAAGUCAAUCCUACUCUAGCCCCAAUUAAAAAAAAAUCAGAAACACUUGUCUUAUUUUAAUAAUUUUCAUUCUCAAAACUAAAAAAAACCCAUACACUUACUCACCUCUUUCAUUCCUCUCAGUCC
RNAcentral lists this long non-coding RNA (203 nucleotides) under Vigna radiata. RNAcentral describes it as "long non-coding RNA (VRAD_LNC003184)". The record is from RNAcentral. Lineage: Eukaryota; Viridiplantae; Streptophyta; Magnoliopsida; Fabales; Fabaceae.